AAUAAAAAAUAGCUAAAAAAACUACUUUCAGGAGGCUGAAAUCUGGAGGAGAUCAAAAUCUGGCUCAUUUGGCACAGGAAAGCCAAGCGACCAUGAAGAACUGGAAACUUCUAGUUGGUUUUCAUUUGAUUGGGAAAUUCUCUGCAAGGCCUUAUGGAAAAGUCAGCUGGGUGUUUUGUCCUGCUUCCUCCCAGGCAGAAGAGCAGCCCUAACUGGAGAAGAUGGAGUGGAUUUUGAUGGCACCACACAGAAUCUGAGGAGGUUCCAGGCUCCUCCUUCCAUGCUGAGACAGGUACAGAGGUGGGAGAUGCAGAUCCCUGUGGGGAAAGAGUGGGGCAGUCUAAGGAAGACCAUGGAUGGAAUGGAAAGAGUGAUCACCUCUAAGAGCAGUUUGGUCCCUCCUGCUGCAUCAGCUCCUGGGAAAUCCUUCCAAUCAGUACAGGAACUCCAGGCUUUCUGUGGGGUCCCAAGGAGCAGAAGACAAGAUAACCAUGCUUUGGUGUAGGCAUGCAUGAUGGGUU
Long non-coding RNA from Parus major (Great Tit), 521 nucleotides. RefSeq lists it as uncharacterized. The record is from RefSeq and is a predicted model, not a curated record. Lineage: Eukaryota; Metazoa; Chordata; Aves; Passeriformes; Paridae. The transcript is spliced from 3 exons.